Molecule: long non-coding RNA, 3998 nt
Organism: Canis lupus familiaris (dog)
Lineage: Eukaryota; Metazoa; Chordata; Mammalia; Carnivora; Canidae
Exons: 3
Source: RefSeq, a predicted model, not a curated record
UGGUAAUUGGCUGGCCGUUGUACAUUAUCUGAAAAGACAAGACAGUAGACUCUCAGACAUUUUUUAAAAGACUGAUAAAAAGCCUCCCCCCUCCCCUCCCUGCAGAUCGGUGUGAAACAAUGAUUCGAUUACAAAAGAAACUGAACGGACCCAGCAUUCUGAAGGCCAAAGCCUAGAAUAUCCGUGAAGAAACAGCCUUGUGACCCCCUUCCCCACCUUCCCAGCAGAGUCAAACCCCAAGACGGGGCCCAUGGUGCGCCCACCCCCGCAUCCCUCAAGAUGCCCAAUGCCGUGUCCGGAUACCAGCCUAGCUAGUCUUCACUGAAGGCGUGGGCAAGAAACAGAACGGUUCAAAUUCAGGAAAUAAGACCGCCAAGGCCCCGAGGGACUCAGCGUGGGCUCUGGAAGCACGUGUCAGCCGGGACUUAGAAACCGUGCCACGGCGCCCCUCAGUCUGGGAGAGCCCUUGCCAUCUAGCCUGCGCCCUGGGCCAUGCCUGUCGCUCCCGGCCUCCUCUGCAAACGGUCACUUCCUCCUUAGAGCAAAUGGCAGAUGCAAUGGAGACAUUUCAAAACUAUUUCAAACUACAGAGCAGGUUAUGACAAGGCCCCUGGGAAAAUUCUUUCAAUGAGAGAACUGUUCUCAGGAUAUUUCUCGAUGCUGGGCACCUAGUAAGCGUGCUUUAAAGACGACAGGACAUGGAUUCUGCUCUAAGAAUUGAGACUGUUUCCACAAGGCAUCAACUGAACUACAGGGAGCAGUGCUGGGUCUCGCCGCAGAAAAUUGAGAGCGAAAGGAGAGAGAGACAAAGGCCCCAGAGCCAGGAGAGAGGAGUGGCACCUGAGCAGGGCUCGGGACAGCGUCUGUCUGGUUGCCGAGGCCGAGCUGCCCCAUCUUGUUCUCUCCAAACGCAAGCACGGAGCCCGUUUCUGGAAGGAAAAGACAGGAUCACAAAAGGGAAAAGAACACGGAGGGUGUGGAACUCGAUCUGGAUCAAAGGCUCCAAGAUAAUAAAAACAGCUCGUGUGCCAGGAAGAGCGCCAGUGAGACCGUACCGCAAACAGAGGUGGGACGGGCAGCUCAGGGCACGGGCCCUUCAGAGCCGAGGCUGAGGACGCAGGGAGGGUCUAGGGGCCCGGCCUCUGCCUCCCGACCACCUUCUGAUGCCAGCGGGUGGGGAGGCCAGCCGUGGCUCCGAGAAGCACCCACUGGGGUCUCUGGGUGCCCCUCUGAUCCUGACUCAGAGCCCCAGAGACGACUCCACCCCAAUGCCCAAGGUGGACCGUGCGGCCUCCUGCCCAACUCAGCAGAAGCCAGCCAUUCCUUACCUGUCAACGCCAGGGUGUGGUUCCGUCCACACGCCGCAGACACAAUCACUUCGUGGCUGAGACCCUCAAUGAGUUUGGGGGCUUCCACCCUCUUGGUAUCACCGUGUCCCAGCUGCCCCUUCUCAUUUCGACCUGCAGAUCAAGAGCAAAAUACAGUGGGAAGGGAGAGAGCAGCCAGGACAGCGUCCCGGGAAAAGCCAACACACCUGGGUCCCCCCAGAGGGUGCCCUCCACCCUUGACAGCCGAGAACGAGAGGCAAAAAGCCCUGCCCUGGCUCCCCUGUCAGUGGCCAACCUCUCGAGGUCGGCCUGAGUGGGGCCAGGUGACCAGGGGAGGAUAUACAGUGCCAUCCCCAGAGACGUGUCUGCGGGCCAUGGCCACCUACCUGCCUCACCUCUGACCUGCUUUUCUGGGACAGCGGCUGGGACCCACCCGGGAGCCCUUUCUGUAGCUCUGCUACCGGGGAGACAGAGCGCUCGGUUCGCCCCGGGUGUCCCGCACAAGCAGAUGAACUCAUGGAAACUCACAGUUCUCACUCCACCUGCCAGACAAUUCCCUCGCUCCCUUCUCUCCAAGAUGGAUUUUAAGAGGGGAACUAUUUUGGACACCUGCCUCACAGAGUUUAAUUACUUCAGUGCCCUGGGCAUCUUCCAUGGACCAUUUGGUUCAUUUCUGCCCGUCGUUUCUUUCCUUUCACCUGCCCUGGAAACGCUGCCUGCAGAGCAGCCAAGCCCACCUCCUGGGGGCAGCCCUCCACAAGACCCUCAGCUACGGGACCCCCAGGGGUGGACCACAAGCCCUUCCUGCCAACGGGGCCGCGCAGGCUGUGAGCUGGGGAGGCAGGAAGGCCCGAGGAGGCCGGCCUCUGCCAGAACCCUCCACAAGGCACAGGCCCUCUGGCUGCACAGCAGACAUGGGGAUCCCGGUGGGCCGGGAGGAGCCCCCACACUUCCCCUGCUUUCCAACUCCAGCUACCACAGUUCCCAAACCAAACAGCUCUGCAGCCUCACAGGUCCCCUGGCCAAGAGAAGAACCACAUGGUGGUAACCAAACAAAUCUGGGAGAUUUCAUGGGGCCAAAGAGUCAGGGCACUGAGGGGUCGGGGGUGAGCAGUUCACGCCCUCCCCUGACAACAAACUUCUGACCUUUCUUCAGGAGAAACACGGAGGACAGAGACACAAAGAGCAGGGCCAAGCAUCCCGAGACCUGAGGAAGGAAGGGAACUGCCAGCUGCGAGAACUGUCCUCCAGCCCACACGGAUUCCAGCCCUCUGGCAGGAGCGGCACACACCGGCUUCCGCCGGGAGCGAGCCGUCUGGGUUCACCGGCAAAAGCAGGCUGCACCGGGCGAGUGUUGGGCAUGGUCUCUCGGCCCCUCGAGAGGCCCGAGUGGCUCUAACAGGUGCAGACCCCUCAAGAGCAACGUGCACCGAUGCUCCUAGAUUCCAGACGACACCCCUUGCCAUUUCACGCAGCUAACUGUGGAAUGGUGAUGUCCCCAUGGGCAUGUCCCCCCCACCCCCCACCAUAGCACCAAGUCCACUCACAGGGACACGAGUCCUCACUCUGGGGCCAGGCAGGGCGCAUGGCCUCCAGCUCCCCUCUCUGCCCACAGUGUCCGCACAGGGCAUGUUUUCAGAAGCACCACGUAAGGGAAAUUCAGUAAAGAGAUCAGAAGGAAGAGAUGUCAAGUUCGGAGCUGUGACGCUGCCGUGUUCAGUGCUGGGACACCGCGGGGAGGGGUGCCCCGGGAGGAGCCCGGACCCCUGCACUGAUCGGGGGAAACGACAGCCGUGGCAAUGUCAGCGAGUCAUCAAGAGACGACAAAGUUUAAAUGUGGGCCAGACACACUUGUUAGCUCUUUUUUUUUUUUUUCCAACAGAAUUACAAAAUUAGCAGAGUGCAGCAAAGACAACAGAUGUUAAUAUAUUUGGACUUUGGUACAGCAGCUCAUGAAAUUGCAAAAAACGGUUCAAACAGACUGAAAUAAAAAAAGCAGUCAUAUGGGCUAAAAGCUAGCCAAAGGACCAGAAACAAAGGGCGGGGACGACUGCCAACAUACCCAGCUGGAGGAAGAGUCCAGGAGCUACGAGAGGGCGCGGGGCUAACCUGAGCCUCGGUCAGCACCUCGAUCAACAAUCUGGAAGAGGGAACGGGCAGCAGUGCGUGCAGCCCCGCGGAGGGGCCUCAGGCCAAGGCCACCACCGCCAGGGACCCGGGCGAGGGGCUCCAGCGGCAGGAAAGCAACUCAACUCAGAAAAAAGUAAACUCAGCUGUCGGGAAGUCUUAUCAUAGGCACCGAGCAACCGAACCUGCAGGCGGGCGGGAUCCCCGGAAACAGAGGGACAGGAGCACGGAGAUGCAGUGGCCGAUGCCAUGACGUGGCCGGCGGCAUUUACAGCGGCAAGAACACAGGUCUCACGUCAAUGCUGUGCCACAAAGCAAGGGGGGGUACUGUCUGCCCAGGGGACGGCGUGUCUAAAAUAGAAAUUCAAUUCUAGGCACCUCAAGAUCAGAAAGAUCCAGAUUCAGUCAGAACGUUCAGGGAAAGGUUGCUUAAAAGAGACACUUCAGGGGCGCCUGGGUGGCUCAGUCACUUUGGCUCAGGUCAUGAUCCCGGGAUCCUGGGAUGGAUCCCAGUGUGUGUGUGUGUGGGGGGGGGGGGGGUUG